RNAcentral lists this ribosomal RNA (307 nucleotides) under Comamonadaceae bacterium PBBC2. RNAcentral's name for it is "partial 16S ribosomal RNA". It matches the Rfam family "Bacterial small subunit ribosomal RNA", at positions 1 to 307 of the family's 1533-position model. Lineage: Bacteria; Pseudomonadati; Pseudomonadota; Betaproteobacteria; Burkholderiales; Comamonadaceae. The record is from RNAcentral.
AGAUCGAACUAUAGAGUUUGAUCCUGGCUCAGAUUGAACGCUGGCGGAAUGCUUUACACAUGCAAGUCGAACGGUAACAGGUCUUCGGAUGCUGACGAGUGGCGAACGGGUGAGUAAUAUAUCGGAACGUGCCCAGUCGUGGGGGAUAACGCAGCGAAAGCUGUGCUAAUACCGCAUACGAUCUACGGAUGAAAGCGGGGGAUCGCAAGACCUCGCGCGAUUGGAGCGGCCGAUAUCAGAUUAGCUAGUUGGUGGGGUAAAAGCCCACCAAGGCGACGAUCUGUAGCUGGUCUGAGAGGACGACCAG